UGUAUUUCUUGUCAACUUUCCCUGGAUUUACAUCCUUGACUCUAUCAGUAGGAUGAACCAGAGCAGGAAUUAGGGGACUUCUGCUUUUUUGUGAAUUGCACAGAGAAGGUACUCAAAUUCCAGCGGGAGGGGAUUGACUAAAAACUGGAGAUACAACAGUGAAAAUCAACAGGUUUCUAAAAUUAGGCAUAACACAAGUUAGUCUUUUCAUGAGCCUGGAAGUAUGUUCAGUUAUAGCAAUAUUUAGCCAUAUGCAAGGGGACAUAUACUCACUACAUAGCCUGGGGGAGGGAUGUGGUCAUUCAUUUCAAAAUUUUCCAAGGGGUUUCCAUUAUUGUGUUACUGCACUCAUUGGCCUAGAUUUUUUUGUAGCUCAGGUAGCUCGAGAAGGUCCCACGUGGGAGCUAGAGGUACUUUUGCAAUUUCCUCUUCUGGGUCACAGUAAGUUGUCAAGGUUAAGCACAAAUACUUCCUAUAUCUGUUUCAUCUCCAUGCCCUUCACUCUGUUCAUCCCUAGGUCAACAUUCUUCAGGGAGGCCAGAGGCUGCUCUGUAUUUAUUGUAACCCCAUCCUUCCUAGUCAUUAGUAUUUGUGGAAAGGAGACAGGGAGACCUGAAGUGGAAGAGCCCUAGCUCCCUACCCUGAACGUGUUCACGGAGCCCGACUGUGGUGAGCAGAUUGGAGCCGGAAGUCAGCGCCAGCUCCAGAAGACAGUGUGGACGACGUCGCGAAGGGACCAGCAGCCCGAGGAAGGCCGGCUGGUGCUGCUCUUUCUGCCUGCGGGAAGUCAAAGCACCCCUACCUAUUCAUGUCUGUCAGAGCUUCAGAUGAAAGAAAUGAGAUCAUCAGUGACAUACUUGCUGGUGGAACCUGACUGAGGCUCGGAUCCCGAUUCCUGGGGUCAGUGUUCUAUUAUCCACCUGGUGGCUCAGACCCCAAGCCUACCAUCCUAUGAUAAUGGUGUCACUUCCUGAUCUUGAAUAUUCUUCAUUGACACCAAGAACCAAACAGAAGACAGGUGUGGCUUCAAGGAGAACUACCUUGAGAGGAACAAAAAGAGAACUUGGGCAAUGCUCUGAAGGGGCUCUUCAACAUCACUAGAGGAAGGUAACACUUGCCUCUUCGGAAACCCCAAGUCACAAAAGUCUCUCUCUACCCUCAGGCAUUGAUUUCCCCCCUCUGGGCC
Molecule: long non-coding RNA, 1186 nt
Organism: Fukomys damarensis (Damara mole-rat)
Lineage: Eukaryota; Metazoa; Chordata; Mammalia; Rodentia; Bathyergidae
Exons: 3
Source: RefSeq, a predicted model, not a curated record